UGCAACGCUAGCUCUGGACAAAACUGCAAA
Molecule: non-coding RNA, 30 nt
Filed under: Homo sapiens (human)
Lineage: Eukaryota; Metazoa; Chordata; Mammalia; Primates; Hominidae
Source: RNAcentral